Molecule: non-coding RNA, 76 nt
Organism: Cordylochernes scorpioides
Lineage: Eukaryota; Metazoa; Arthropoda; Arachnida; Pseudoscorpiones; Chernetidae
Source: the annotation of a GenBank genome assembly
UGCCCAAUGCGGGAAUCGAACCCGGGUCCUAGUGGUCGAAAACCAAACGGUUUACCCAGCCUUCCAUCUAAAAAGC